Long non-coding RNA from Telopea speciosissima, 690 nucleotides. RefSeq lists it as uncharacterized. Lineage: Eukaryota; Viridiplantae; Streptophyta; Magnoliopsida; Proteales; Proteaceae. The transcript is spliced from 2 exons. The record is from RefSeq and is a predicted model, not a curated record.
UUCCCGCCCUUUGACAUCCUCUUUUAAUCUAAAACUUUUGCCGCAAAAGCUAGCAAGGCUCUAUUACUAUACCCCCACCUGAGUCCUACCAGAUCCAUCUUGAUCUUGUUUUGCUGUUUGGAUUAGUUGUGUGAUAAAAUAAACUCAUCAAAACGAUUUUCUUAAAACUAAUCUGUCCGCCUGACCUAUCACAGACUCUACAGUGAGACUACUAGUUGAUGAAAUGGACAUUAUUGAUACUUGAGUGAGAAGGGGAACUUGGGGUUGCUUCAGAACAUCAACGACCUUAUCAAUCACUAACAUUACUUCAGAAAGCCCAAAAUAGCAUCCUCCUCAACCGCAUGAAUCCACAUUAUUGCAGCACUAAAGCUACCUGAUAACUUUUAACCAACAAAGGAACUCAAAGAUUAUCAAGAGAUCCCAUCUAUAUAAGAUUUAAAUCAUGAGGUCUUUGACAUCAUGUUUCCUCCUUUCAAAUAACUCUACAUGAUGAAAGUGUGUUCUGACUAUGCACAACACUUUUCAAUUCCUAAAUUGAAAUUGUCUUUGCAAUUCCAUUUCAUAACACCUGGGACACAACUUGCAAAGAGAGAUACCAUAGUUUAGGUCAAACAACGUUCUUGACGCACGCAAGCAUGUGACAGACAGCCCUUUCCAAUACCUUGAGUGGUUGCUUAGUGCUCAGGUUUC